CUAUUACAAAAUUAACACAUCAAGGUCUUAGGUGUUGUUGUACUUUACGGACCAAAAUUGUUCAAACAAACAUGAUAUAUACCAAACAUUGUUUUAAACUAUUGAAUGAUAAAUUGUGGUUUGUGGUUCAUAUUUGUUUGUUAGGUAUUGCAUGUAAAGUAAUGUAUCUAUAGAAAUGUUUGUCAUUAAGAUGUAUCACGAACACAACAUGAACAGACGCUAAAGAUAGAAGUACAGAUACAAUCAUUACAUCGGUGUAAGACAAUAUUUCAGUGUGAAUGAUAUAUAUAUCAUCAAAAUACUUGUUUCAACACGGAAACAGAUAUUUAUCUCAACAUGGUAUUUACAAGAACAAAGAAUCUAAAUUCAAACCAAACAAUGGGUCAGUUCUGAUUUGUAUGACGCAUAUAAGGUGAAACAUAUAGUAGUCAAUAAAUGUAGUUUCUGAGAACCAUUCAUAGUUGGUGGUUGGUAUUACUAACACCACAGAGUAAAACACAUAUCUUUACCAGUAUGGGACUUGUAUGGAGCUUUCUGCAGUUGGUCUAUACAACUGUGGCCAAUGCUACAGUAUUAUCAUGCAUUGGGGUAUUGUCUGUGAUAACGUACCAAAAUUAUUCUUACAAAAAAAAACUACAGGAAACAUUGGCUGAAUCAAACAGAAAACAAGAGGAAACCGUAACCGAAUUGAUGCAAAAAGAGAAAAACAAGUUAACUAAAUGGAUAGAAAAAGAGACGAAAACAAGUACUGAACUUAGAAGAAAACUGGUAGAUGAAUUUGAAAGAAAACAAGAAGAAACUCUGACUCAACUGAAAAGAAAACAAGAGGACACGAUAGCUGAUAUAAAAAGAAAACAUGAGGAAACGAUGGCUGAUUUAAAAAGAAAACAAGAGGACUUGAUUUCUGCUUCGAUAAAAAAACAAAUCGAUGCAGUAAUCAAAAACCAAGAGGAAACUUUGACUGAUUUUACAAAGAAAGGGAACGAGUUAAAUGAAUUAGUUAGAACAUAUAAGCAACAUUUAGAUCAAUUAAUGGAAGGGCAACAUAAUUUAAACAAAGAUUUACAAAAGGAAAAGGAAAAUUUGAUUGAUUUGAAAAGAAAACAAGAAGAACAAUCGAAAAUAACACAAGACUUAGCUGAAUUUAAAAAAAGUCAGGAGAAUACGUUGGCUGAAAUCGAAACAAAACAAGAUGGACAAGAGAAAAGGCUAGCUAUAUUAGAAAGAAAACAAGAAAAACUUUAUGCUGAUAAAUCUAAAAAGAGUAAACAAGAGAUAGCGGAGGCGGAUUUGAGAAAAAAACACUUAGAAGAAUUGAAAACGAAAGAAGAAGGAGAGGAUGCAAAUGAAUAGACAGAAAACGUGAAAAAUAAGUAAACUCAAUUCAUUAAAAAGCAGAAAAGAUUUAAAUGGAUAUAUAAAAAAACAUGGAAACGUUGCAGAAAAUGUUUGAUGCAUCUCAACUUUAAACAAGGUACUUUUAGUCAUAUAAAAACUUAUUUUAAAGAUAUUUGUUUUAAUAAUUUGUCUUAAUUUGUACGCCUAUUUCUUUUAGAAUACCUAUUUGUUUUCAGUAUACGUAUUUUUUAGUAUACGUAUUUAUUUAGUAUACUUAUUUCUACAGCAUGCUUAUUUCUUUGAGGAUACUUAUGUCUUUGACGAAAUAACAUGUUAAUUUCAUGAUUUUUUUUUUUGCAUCUUGUUAGAAUUGCCUUUAAUAUAUUAUACACGUAUUCAUGUAGAGGGGUAUUUGUUGGUGAAGGAAGGGACACACAAUUUUAUUCAUUCAAACAAUUAUUGUUUUUGUUGCUUAACUUAAAACAAUUGAUCACGAUAUGUGUUUAUGACAUGUUGUUGUAAAAGUCCAAUCUAGAAUUUGAAAAAUAUUAUGGAAAUUAUUUAAUGCAUAUAAACAUUGAUCAAGGAGAAGAUUACAAUGCUUAAAAUAGAGAAUUGAAAUGGGGAAUGUGUCAAGGAGACAACAACUCGACCAAAGAGUAAAAAAACAGCCGAAGGCAACUAAUGGGUCUUCAAUACAGCGAGAAAAUCCCGCACCCGGAAGCGGACUUCAGCUAGAUCCUAAACAAAAAUGUGUACUAUUUCAGUGAAAAUGAACUACAUACUUAACUACUAAAUAUAUAAAUGAACUAAUAUAUCUAUAAAAAAACAUAUAAGACUUACAAAGGCCAGAGGCUCCUGAAUUGGGACAGGCGCAAAAAAAAAAAAAAUAAUGAGAUCUCCACCCUUCCCCUAUACCUCUAACCAAUGUAGAUUAACAAACACACAGCAAUACGCACAGUAAAACUAAGCUUAAAAGAAGUCCUAGUCCGAUGUCAGAAAGGGUAAAAAAAAAGAAGCAAAAUGACGAUGAUACAUAUAUUAAUAAAGGACUACUAGCAGUAUACUUAAAUAGUAAAUAUAGAGUAUAUGUACAUAUCAAUGGCACAGAAACUUAAAACCCAGACAAACAACACAAGACAAGCACAUGUAAAACUAAAGUCUUCACCAAUAUACAUGCGUAUCACUAUCAAUAAGUGAUAUGUAAAACUCAGGUUAGAUAUGAUGUAAUUGCAAAAAUUCAAAAUACACCCCAACCGGUUUUAACAAAAUAAAAAACCUAAUCAAAAACUAUUCUAUCUAAGACGGUCGAACGUAUGCUUCAAAGAAAUGAUCACUAAACAAUCCCGAAAAUUAUAUGUAUAUUCAGAAUGAUAACAAUAAGCUAAUACUUAAACACAUACGCGACUCUGUGGGUUCGUGACUGAAUUAAAGUAAUUACACCCUGUUUUUAGCCUUGGUAUUUGGUAUUGGUAUUUUCAUCUGAUAAAGCCAUGCUGAUUAUAGGGUGCACAGUGUUCUAUAUUUAUUAUCUUCCAGUGUGAACACAUCCUGGAUUUCUUACUACAACCAGAAACUACAUGUUAUAUAUAUUUUUGGUAACGAUAUCGGAUUCCAUCCGGAACUUGUUAAUACUUGGUAAUAUUAAUUAUGUGGAAAACGAAAAUGUUUGGAAUGUACAACUCUUUAUCAACACCAUUGUCCUAUAUAAUAUAUAUAUAGUUGAAUUCUUUUAUUCGUCAUUGUUACAUCAUGCAGGCUUACAAAUUGGACCUCGUUAUUUUAAUAAUAUAGUAAAGAUGGCAAGAACACUACUUUGUCAGAGAGUGAACCAAUUUUUACUUUAUUAAAACUGUAUCAUUUUUA
Long non-coding RNA from Mytilus californianus (California mussel), 3204 nucleotides. RefSeq lists it as uncharacterized. The transcript is spliced from 2 exons. NCBI's taxonomy places the organism in Eukaryota, Metazoa, Mollusca, Bivalvia, Mytilida, Mytilidae. The record is from RefSeq and is a predicted model, not a curated record.